GACGGGGCCCGCACAAGCGGUGGAGCAUGUGGUUUAAUUCGACGCAACGCGAAGAACCUUACCAGGGCUUGACAUCCCCUGACCGCGUAUGAAAGUACGUUUUCACCCUCGGGUGACAGGGAGACAGGUGGUGCAUGGUUGUCGUCAGCUCGUGUCGUGAGAUGUUGGGUUAAGUCCCGCAACGAGCGCAACCCCUGUCCUUAGUUGCCAUCAUUAAGUUGGGCACUCUAAGGAGACUGCCGGUGUUAAACCGGAGGAAGGUGGGGAUGACGUCAAGUCCUCAUGGCCCUUACAUCCCGGGCUACACACGUGCUACAAUGGCAGGUACAGAGGGCUGCGAAGCCGCGAGGUGGAGCGAAUCCCAGAAAACCUGUCUCAGUCCGGAUUGAAGUCUGCAACUCGACUUCAUGAAGGCGGAAUCGCUAGUAACCGCGAAUCAGCAGGUCGCGGUGAAUACGUUCCCGGGCCUU
Molecule: ribosomal RNA, 470 nt
Filed under: uncultured Geobacter sp.
Lineage: Bacteria; Pseudomonadati; Thermodesulfobacteriota; Desulfuromonadia; Geobacterales; Geobacteraceae
Description: bacterial SSU rRNA
Rfam family: Bacterial small subunit ribosomal RNA
Source: RNAcentral